RNAcentral lists this ribosomal RNA (501 nucleotides) under uncultured bacterium. RNAcentral's name for it is "partial 16S ribosomal RNA". It matches the Rfam family "Bacterial small subunit ribosomal RNA", at positions 30 to 523 of the family's 1533-position model. The record is from RNAcentral.
AUUGAACGCUGGCGGCAGGCUUAACACAUGCAAGUCGAGCGGGGGGAGGUAGCUUGCUACCGGACCUAGCGGCGGACGGGUGAGUAAUGCUUAGGAAUCUGCCUAUUAGUGGGGGACAACAUCUCGAAAGGGAUGCUAAUACCGCAUACGUCCUACGGGAGAAAGCAGGGGAUCUUCGGACCUUGCGCUAAUAGAUGAGCCUAAGUCGGAUUAGCUAGUGGGUGGGGUAAAGGCCUACCAAGGCGACGAGCUGUAGCGGGUCUGAGAGGAUGAUCCGCCACACUGGGACUGAGACACGGCCCAGACUCCUACGGGAGGCAGCAGUGGGGAAUAUUGGACAAUGGGGGGAACCCUGAUCCAGCCAUGCCGCGUGUGUGAAGAAGGCCUUAUGGUUGUAAAGCACUUUAAGCGAGGAGGAGGCUACUUUAGUUAAUACCUAGAGAUAGUGGACGUUACCCGCAGAAUAAGCACCGGCUAACUCUGUGCCAGCCGCCGCCGUAA